UUGAAAUGCUUUAAUUAUUAUUUGAGUCAAGUAACAGUGGAAUCAAGAGACAGAGAGCCCACCGUGCUGCUAUAACAUGAAACACUAACAUCCAAGAUGAUAAUAAUAGUGAUGCUGUAGUGACCAUAUAAGAGAUAGAGAGCCCACCGUGCUGCUAUAACAUGAAACAUUAACAUCCAAGAUGAUAAUAAUAGUGAUGAUGUAGUGACCAUAUUGUUCUCUAGGUGUCAGUGUUAUAGUGAUAAUGUAGUGACCAUAUUGUUCUCUAGGUGUCAGUGUUAUAGUGAUGAUGUAGUGACCAUAUUGUUCUCUAGGUGUCAGUGUUAUAGUGAUGAUGUAGUGACCAUAUUGUUCUCUAGGUGUCAGUGUUAUAGUGAUGAUGUAGUGACAAUAUUGUUCUCUAGGUGUCAGUGUUAUAGUGAUGAUGUAGUGACCGUACUGUUCUCUAGGUGUCAGUGUUAUAGUGAUAAUGUAGUGACCAUAUUGUUCUCUAGGUGUCAGUGUUAUAGUGAUAAUGUAGUGACCAUAUUGUUCUCUAGGUGUCAGUGUUAUAGUGAUGAUGUAGUGACCGUACUGUUCUCUAGGUGUCAGUGUUAUAGUGAUGAUGUAGUGACCGUACUGUUCUCUAGGUGUCAGUGUUAUAGUGAUGAUGUUGUGACCAU
Long non-coding RNA from Oncorhynchus keta (chum salmon), 662 nucleotides. RefSeq lists it as uncharacterized. Lineage: Eukaryota; Metazoa; Chordata; Actinopteri; Salmoniformes; Salmonidae. The record is from RefSeq and is a predicted model, not a curated record. The transcript is spliced from 4 exons.